UUCUAGUCUUUGAGCUGUUAAUUUAAGUUAUUUUCUUUCUAAGCAUACAUUUUCAUAAAAAAAGUAAAUUUCUCUGUUACUACGUUACAUUAUGUGAACAUAUUAGUACCUUUUAGCUUUUCUACCUACACAGGAAAAAUGAGAGUACUUUUUUCGGAGUUACCAUCAGUAAUUUUUGUUUAAGUAGGUGUAAAAACGUAGAGGAAAUAUGUUGGAGUAAACCAGCGAGACCACGCCCACUCUACUUUCUUAAGUUUCGUUUCUUCCGCCAUUUUGUUAUCCCGCAGCGGCCGGAGGAAGAUAGAGGCUGUGACUGAGGAAAGAUGCAAGCUGUGCGUGAACAUGUCGAACGCC
Non-coding RNA from Oryzias latipes (Japanese medaka), 354 nucleotides. Lineage: Eukaryota; Metazoa; Chordata; Actinopteri; Beloniformes; Adrianichthyidae. The record is from RefSeq and is a predicted model, not a curated record.